AUACGGAGGAUGCAAGCGUUAUCCGGAUUUAUUGGGUUUAAAGGGUGCGUAGGCGGUUUGCUAAGCGGGAGGUGAAAUGCCGGCGCUCAACGUCGGAAGUGCCUCCCGAACUGGUGGACUUGAAUGACUCUGCCGUGGGAGGAAUGUGUAGUGUAGCGGUGAAAUGCUUAGAGAUUACACAGAACACCGAUUGCGAAGGCAUCUCACGAAGGGUUGAUUGACGCUGAGGCACGAAAGCGUGGGGAUCAAACAGGAUUAGAUACCCUGGUAGUCCACGCAGUAAACGAUGAUGGUUAACCGCUGGGCUUAUCAGUUCAGUGGCCAAGCGAAAGCGAUAAGCCAUCCACCUGGGGAGUACGACCGCAAGGUUGAAACUCAAAUGAAUUGACGGGG
This 393-nucleotide ribosomal RNA is filed under the name uncultured bacterium. RNAcentral describes it as "partial 16S ribosomal RNA". It matches the Rfam family "Bacterial small subunit ribosomal RNA", at positions 523 to 918 of the family's 1533-position model. The record is from RNAcentral.